Molecule: non-coding RNA, 105 nt
Organism: Gyrodon lividus
Lineage: Eukaryota; Fungi; Basidiomycota; Agaricomycetes; Boletales; Gyrodontaceae
Source: the annotation of a GenBank genome assembly
GGCGCUAUAGUGUAGUGGUUAUCACUCAGGAUUCUGAUCAUUUCCAUAUUUGGCACAAACAUCACCUCAUUUCCUGAAACCCAGGUUCGAGCCCUGGUAGCGCCU